Molecule: small RNA, 598 nt
Filed under: Pan troglodytes (chimpanzee)
Lineage: Eukaryota; Metazoa; Chordata; Mammalia; Primates; Hominidae
Description: processed transcript
Source: RNAcentral
GAGUGGCAGCAGACGCACCAGGUACGAGGAAAGCCUGAGGACCAGGGCGGUGGCCGAGGAUGCCCCCUCGACGCAUUAUUUCCUCCCUGUCGCAAGAGGGCGCUGCGUCCAGGCACUGAGAGGAAGAAAGAGGAGAACACGGGGAGUAGCAAGUCCGCGUGGUGGGUACAGGCACCUCGCUGGCGCUCUCCUCCCUCCUGUCCCUGCUGCUCUUUGCUGGGAUGCAGAUGUACAGCCGUCAGCUGGCCUCCACCGAGUGGCUCACCAUCCAGGGCGGCCUGCUUGGUUCGGGUCUCUUCGUGUUCUCGCUCACUGCCUUCAAUAAUCUGGAGAAUCUUGUCUUUGGCAAAGGAUUCCAAGCAAAGAUCUUCCCUGAGAUUCUCCUGUGCCUCCUGUUGGCUCUCUUUGCAUCUGGCCUCAUCCACCGAGUCUGUGUCACCACCUGCUUCAUCUUCUCCAUGAUUGGUCUGUACUACAUCAACAAGAUCUCCUCCACCCUGUACCAGGCAGCAGCUCCAGUCCUCACACCAGCCAAGGUCACAGGCAAGAGCAAGAAGAGAAACUGACCCUGAAUGUUCAAUAAAGUUGAUUCUUUGUA